Molecule: long non-coding RNA, 1115 nt
Filed under: Cottoperca gobio
Lineage: Eukaryota; Metazoa; Chordata; Actinopteri; Perciformes; Bovichtidae
Description: lncRNA (ENSCGOG00000024590.1)
Source: RNAcentral
UUUUUUUCAUUUUAUAGACAUUUAUCUCACAAACUCGCACUUUAAAUCCGCAAUAUAGUAAAUUGUGUUUUAAAAAAUCAAAUAAAAAAACCCCAACAAUGAUUCCUCUUCUGUGUGAACCAGGUUUUGCUCCUUCAGAAAGAGAAGACUUCUCUUAAACAGAACUCUGAACAAGAAGUAUGUCAGCUGUGGACGCAGCUGGACAGCAUGAGGACCAGUCGCCAUGAGUUGGGAGAGCUGAAGGAUCAGCUGCUCGCUCGCUCGGCUCGUGUUGAUGACAUGGAGUGCCUGAAGACAGAGUUUAAUGAACAAAAACGGGAAAUCAAAGAACAGAAUGAGGCUGAGCUGGAAAGCCUGAGGAGGUACAAGAGCACAAACAGUCCUGAUGCAUUUAUUCUCACAAAAGUCUUUGCCUCUGUUAUUUGUCCAGGUUUGAAAUGUGAGGUUUAGAUUGAAAACUGGUAUUAAAAAUGUUUUAUUUUUAUCACUGAUGUGGUUUGCACAUUAUGCCUUCUGGCCACAGUCAAGAUUGUCAAUUAUGUCAAUUGGCCUCUUCAUAACCUUUCACUGCUCACAUGAAAAUUAAACAUGCUUUAUCUCCGUUUUUUUUUUAGGUACUUUGAGAAGCGAUUGCAGGCAACAGAGGAGAGCUACAGGGAGGAAAUUGCGUUGCUCCAGCUGAGGCUGGUGGAAAGUGCCUUGGAGGAAUCUGUGAUUAAAACUGCAGAUGACAGGUAUGCCAGUUGGUCGGUAUGUAAGACCAGAUGCAUGUACUACAAACUUCCAUACGUCCUAUUUGAAUAAUUGUGCCUCUGGUCUCAGUUUCAGUUCCAUGUCUCAAGGCCAAGCUGAGGAGGAAAAAGCUCAUGUGCUUUCUGACACUGACUUCAAACUAGAGAAACGCAAGGAAGCGCUUGACAGUUUGCGCCUUCAGCUGGAGGAGAGACACACAGCGGAUCUUGCCAAUCUACAAUCUUCUAUGACUCUUUCCUUUAAGGAAGAGCUGCAACAGGUCAGACACAAACUCAGUCCUUCAAUCUCUAUUGUCUCUAUUUACACAAAAAAGACAAUAAGAAGUUAAUAUGAGAGAGGCAAAGUGAAAAGGCACAUUCAAA